Molecule: transfer RNA, 78 nt
Filed under: Cnuibacter physcomitrellae
Lineage: Bacteria; Bacillati; Actinomycetota; Actinomycetes; Micrococcales; Microbacteriaceae
Description: tRNA-Pro
Source: RNAcentral
GGCGGCGGUGGCGGCGGCGGCGGCGGCUCGUCCUCGGGUGGCGGGUCGGGCGCCGGUUCGGUCCAGCUGGCCGCCACC